RNAcentral lists this ribosomal RNA (460 nucleotides) under uncultured bacterium. RNAcentral describes it as "partial 16S ribosomal RNA". It matches the Rfam family "Bacterial small subunit ribosomal RNA", at positions 338 to 795 of the family's 1533-position model. The record is from RNAcentral.
CCUACGGGAGGCAGCAGUGAGGAAUAUUGGUCAAUGGACGAGAGUCUGAACCAGCCAAGUAGCGUGAAGGAUGACUGCCCUAUGGGUUGUAAACUUCUUUUAUAAAGGAAUAAAACGAGGCACGUGUGCCUUUUUGCAUGUACUUUAUGAAUAAGGAUCGGCUAACUCCGUGCCAGCAGCCGCGGUAAUACGGAGGAUCCGAGCGUUAUCCGGAUUUAUUGGGUUUAAAGGGAGCGUAGGCCGCAUGUCAAGCGUGCUGUGAAAUGUCCGGGCUCAACCCGGGCCUUGCAGCGCGAACUGGCGUGCUUGAGUCCGCGGAAAGCAGGCGGAAUUCGUUGUGUAGCGGUGAAAUGCUUAGAUAUGACGAAGAACCCCGAUUGCGAAGGCAGCUUGCUGCAGCGGAACUGACGCUGAUGCUCGAAAGCGCGGGUAUCGAACAGGAUUAGAUACCCCAGUAGUC